GUCAUUGUUGCUUCCCAGCCGCCGGAGCACCGCCGUGUUCUCGCCGCCGGUAAUCCUUCUUCCUCUCCCCUCUCGUCGUUCUCCUCCCUUUUGUUUCUUGUGUUCAUUUUCUCACUUCCUCAACUCGUCGCUUCUGUUUGCUUGAACCAACGACAGCCGCCGCGGCCCAGCCGCGACCUUCAAACCAGCUCCACCGUCGCUUCUCCUACCACCACCAUCCUUGUUGUGUUGUGCCGCCCUCCUGCUGCAGCGCCACUACACUGGCCGUCGGCUUCUUCUUCUUUUUCUUUUCUCUUUGCUUGCUCCUCUCGCACGCACCACCACUAGCACGCGCCGCCCAGGCUUCUCUCGACCACCUGCGCCGCCGUCGCGCUGCCUCCGCGACCACCUGUUCAUGCUGUCGUGCAGUCCGCCGCCGGCCAGCUCCUUAUCUCCCUCUUUGGUGGAGAAUUCUCCGUAGGCGACUUUUAAAUUAUUAAAGUGGUCUCGCAGUUUGUUUACACAAGUCUCUAAGGAUCAAUAAGCGUUGCCCAUCUACAGGUUUGAAGAUGAUGCAUCAUUG
Spinacia oleracea (spinach) is the source of this 562-nucleotide long non-coding RNA. RefSeq lists it as uncharacterized. The transcript has 3 exons. The record is from RefSeq and is a predicted model, not a curated record. NCBI's taxonomy places the organism in Eukaryota, Viridiplantae, Streptophyta, Magnoliopsida, Caryophyllales, Amaranthaceae.